RNAcentral lists this ribosomal RNA (253 nucleotides) under uncultured bacterium. RNAcentral describes it as "partial 16S ribosomal RNA". It matches the Rfam family "Bacterial small subunit ribosomal RNA", at positions 524 to 776 of the family's 1533-position model. The record is from RNAcentral.
UACGAAGGGGGCUAGCGUUGCUCGGAAUCACUGGGCUUAAAGGGCGCGUAGGCGGGUGCUCAAGUCCGGGGUGAAAUCCUCCAGCUCAACUGGAGAACUGCCUCGGAUACUGGGUGCCUCGAGGAUGGCAGGGGUAUGCGGAACUAUCGGUGGAGCGGUGAAAUGCGUUGAUAUUGAUAGGAACUCCGGUGGCGAAGGCGGCAUACUGGUCCACUUCUGACGCUGAGGCGCGAAAGCCAGGGGAGCAAACGGG